This 435-nucleotide ribosomal RNA is filed under the name uncultured Flavobacterium sp. RNAcentral describes it as "bacterial SSU rRNA". It matches the Rfam family "Bacterial small subunit ribosomal RNA", at positions 358 to 790 of the family's 1533-position model. Lineage: Bacteria; Pseudomonadati; Bacteroidota; Flavobacteriia; Flavobacteriales; Flavobacteriaceae. The record is from RNAcentral.
GGAAUAUUGGACAAUGGGCGCAAGCCUGAUCCAGCCAUGCCGCGUGCAGGAUGACGGUCCUAUGGAUUGUAAACUGCUUUUGUACAGGAAGAAACACUGGUUCGUGAACCAGCUUGACGGUACUGUAAGAAUAAGGAUCGGCUAACUCCGUGCCAGCAGCCGCGGUAAUACGGAGGAUCCAAGCGUUAUCCGGAAUCAUUGGGUUUAAAGGGUCCGUAGGCGGUCUUGUAAGUCAGUGGUGAAAGCCCAUCGCUCAACGGUGGAACGGCCAUUGAUACUGCAGGACUUGAAUUAUUAGGAAGUAACUAGAAUAUGUAGUGUAGCGGUGAAAUGCUUAGAGAUUACAUGGAAUACCAAUUGCGAAGGCAGGUUACUACUAAUUGAUUGACGCUGAUGGACGAAAGCGUGGGUAGCGAACAGGAUUAGAUACCCUAG